Molecule: signal recognition particle RNA, 270 nt
Filed under: Caldifarciminota bacterium
Lineage: Bacteria; Pseudomonadati; Caldifarciminota
Description: candidate division WOR-3 bacterium (hot springs metagenome) signal recognition particle sRNA large type
Rfam family: Bacterial large signal recognition particle RNA
About the family: The signal recognition particle (SRP) is a universally conserved ribonucleoprotein involved in the co-translational targeting of proteins to membranes.
Source: RNAcentral
UUGGGCUAAAGUGGGGGGGUGGCAGUCCCCUGUAACCCGAAACCUGCCUUAUGCGGGGCUGAAAAGAUAAGUUGAGGGAAAGGAUAGUGGGUGUCUUUAAUAAAUUAAGGAGGCGAUGAAGGCUGGGUCUGACAAAGGCAUACCCUACGAACCCCGCCAGGGCCGGAAGGCAGCAACGGUAAGUAGGUGUUAUGUCGGUUGUCAGGGUGCCUGGCUGGAGCUUCCUUUUUAUUAAAGCCCCAUUAUCGCUUUCUCGAACUUAUCGCCCAA